CAGAUGCCAAUUGAUGGUGUUUAGUAAAUGCGAACUGCUCAGAUAAUAUUUUUAUUCUGUAUUGCCAGGCGAUGGAAUGUCGUUGAUUCAAACCAAAAUAAAUCUGCCACGUCGAACAUGAGACAGACAACGCAUAGAGAGAUUGUGGGUGCAGGGUAAAAGAGCUAACAAGUUAAAAUGAAGAUAUCUGCAGAAAUGAAUACUUGAAAACCUAUUUAACACCCAUUGCACGAAACAAGUACUUACAUGAUACAAGUGAUUAAACGGAGCUGUAUUUUGUGAUCAAGUAGACAUGAAUACUUCAUUAAAGAAGAAAGUGUAUAGUGUGUGUAUUUUAGUGAUGUUCGUGAGGAAAUGGAUGCAGAGGCCCACACAAAGUGUCGUGAAAUUCAUUCCAACAUGAGUGUGGCUUGUUAUUGUCGCAGACAUAAGAGUGAAACGGUGUGGGAGGAGCUUCUUCAAAAUCUAUCAAUCUAAACAUGGUGAGUAUUGUUGAUUUUCAGUUUUGUUACUACUUGGUGUUCAUAAGAACAGUUUUUUUAAGCAUAGCUCAAUUUGAAGUUUAUUUUGCAAUUCAUUUGUUUUAUGUAAAUUAUUUAAUUUACUUUCUACUCACUAAUGAUCUUCAGUUUUAUAUUGAAAGGAGCAGAUUUACAUUUACGUUCCGAUACGGGCUUUUUAAUCCCGUUUCUCUCUAUUCCCCCUUGUAUUUCUUUUCUCCCAUGCUUUGUCGAUUUUGUCUUUGCUUGUCGUUUUGUUUCAUUUUUUUUCAAGUCCUGAACGUCGGCAUAGCAUACGUCGGUCGCUCCCGUCUAUUCCGUGUGACACACUGUGGGUACACUGUGGGUACAUGUUAUGCGUGUAUUUCCAUUUUU
Anopheles coustani is the source of this 875-nucleotide long non-coding RNA. RefSeq lists it as uncharacterized. The record is from RefSeq and is a predicted model, not a curated record. The transcript has 4 exons. NCBI's taxonomy places the organism in Eukaryota, Metazoa, Arthropoda, Insecta, Diptera, Culicidae.